AAUAAAAUGGCUGAGAUUAUAAGCAUUAGAUUGUAAAUCUAAUAACGAGAUGGAGUUCUCUUUUAUUA
RNAcentral lists this transfer RNA (68 nucleotides) under Pylocheles mortensenii. RNAcentral describes it as "tRNA-Tyr". It matches the Rfam family "tRNA". Rfam says of the family: Transfer RNA (tRNA) molecules are approximately 80 nucleotides in length. Their secondary structure includes four short double-helical elements and three loops (D, anti-codon, and T loops). Further hydrogen bonds mediate the characteristic L-shaped molecular structure. tRNAs have two regions of fundamental functional importance: the anti-codon, which is responsible for specific mRNA codon recognition, and the 3' end, to which the tRNAs corresponding amino acid is attached (by aminoacyl-tRNA synthetases). tRNAs cope with the degeneracy of the genetic code in two manners: having more than one tRNA (with a specific anti-codon) for a particular amino acid; and 'wobble' base-pairing, i.e. permitting non-standard base-pairing at the 3rd anti-codon position. Lineage: Eukaryota; Metazoa; Arthropoda; Malacostraca; Decapoda; Pylochelidae. The record is from RNAcentral.